GAUGAACGCUAGCGGCAGGCUUAAUACAUGCAAGUCGUGGGGCAGCAGGACUGUAGCAAUACAGUUGCUGGCGACCGGCAAACGGGUGCGGAACACGUACGCAACUUACCCUGAACUGGGGGAUAGUCCGGGGAAACCCGGAUUAAUACCCCGUAAUAUAAUGGAGUGGCAUCACUUUAUUAUUAAAGCUUCGGCGGUUCGGGAUGGGCGUGCGGCUGAUUAGGUAGUUGGUUGAGGUAACGGCUCACCAAGCCUACGAUCAGUAACUGGUGUGAGAGCACGACCAGUCACACGUGAACUGAGACACGGGCCCGACUCCUACGGGAGGCAGCAGUAAGGAGUAUUGUGCAAUGGAGGCAACUCUGACCCAGCCAUGCCGCGUGUAGGAUGAAUGCCCUCUGGGUUGUAAACUUCUUUUAUAGAGGACGAAACCUGUGUAUUCUUACGCAGUUGACGGUACCCUAGGAAUAAGCACCGGCUAACUCCGUG
Molecule: ribosomal RNA, 489 nt
Filed under: uncultured bacterium
Lineage: Bacteria
Description: partial 16S ribosomal RNA
Rfam family: Bacterial small subunit ribosomal RNA
Source: RNAcentral